This 230-nucleotide ribosomal RNA is filed under the name uncultured Alicycliphilus sp. Its description in RNAcentral is "partial 16S ribosomal RNA". It matches the Rfam family "Bacterial small subunit ribosomal RNA", at positions 548 to 774 of the family's 1533-position model. The record is from RNAcentral. Lineage: Bacteria; Pseudomonadati; Pseudomonadota; Betaproteobacteria; Burkholderiales; Comamonadaceae.
AGAGAUGCACUGGGUUUAAAGUGUGCGCAGGCGGUUUUGUAAGACAGAGGUGAAAUCCCGGGGCUCAACCUGGGAACUGCCUUUGUGACUGCAAGGCUGGAGUACGGCAGAGGGGGAUGGAAUUCCGCGUGUAGCAGUGAAAUGCGUAGAUAUGCGGAGGAACACCGAUGGCGAAGGCAAUCCCCUGGGCCUGUACUGACGCUCAUGCACGAAAGCGUGGGGAGCAAACA